This 481-nucleotide ribosomal RNA is filed under the name uncultured bacterium. Its description in RNAcentral is "partial 16S ribosomal RNA". It matches the Rfam family "Bacterial small subunit ribosomal RNA", at positions 28 to 507 of the family's 1533-position model. The record is from RNAcentral.
GGCGAACGUUGGCGGCGUGCUUAAUACAUGCAAGUCAACUGAAGCAGUGGUAGCAAUAUCGCUGUGGAGGUGGCGCACGGGUGAGUAACACGUAGGUAAUCUGCCUUCAGGUCUGGCAUAACUCCGGGAAACCGGGGCUAAUAGCAGAUGAUGCAGCGGCUCGACAUCGAGACAGUUGUUAAAGCUAUGGCGCCUGAAGAUGAGCCUGCGUCUGAUUAGCUAGUUGGCGGGGUAACGGCCCACCAAGGCAACGAUCAGUAGCUGGUCUGAGAGGAUGAUCAGCCACACUGGAACUGAGACACGGUCCAGACUCCUACGGGAGGCAGCAGUAAGGAAUAUUGCUCAAUGGGAGAAAUCCUGAAGCAGCAACGCCGCGUGAGGGACGAAGGGCUUUUGCUUGUAAACCUCUGUAGAGAGAGAAAAAAAUCCCAAUCUUUGGGACAUGAUGGUAUCUCAAAAGUAAGCCCCGGCUAACUACGUG